Non-coding RNA from Trifolium pratense (red clover), 72 nucleotides. The record is from the annotation of a RefSeq genome assembly. NCBI's taxonomy places the organism in Eukaryota, Viridiplantae, Streptophyta, Magnoliopsida, Fabales, Fabaceae.
UCCUCAGUAGCUCAGUGGUAGAGCGGUCGGCUAUUAACCGAUUGGUCGUAGGUUCGAAUCCUAUUUGAAGAG